This is a ribosomal RNA of Ochotona princeps (American pika), 119 nucleotides long. Lineage: Eukaryota; Metazoa; Chordata; Mammalia; Lagomorpha; Ochotonidae. The record is from Ensembl.
GUCUACAGUCAUACCACCCUGAACAUGCCCGAUCUCGUAAAUUAAGCAGGGUUGGGCCUGGUUAGUACUUGGAUGGGAGAUACCUGUAUUCCACAUUGGAGUGUCUUGAGUUUGAGUCC